This 250-nucleotide ribosomal RNA is filed under the name uncultured prokaryote. RNAcentral's name for it is "partial 16S ribosomal RNA". It matches the Rfam family "Bacterial small subunit ribosomal RNA", at positions 524 to 773 of the family's 1533-position model. The record is from RNAcentral.
CACGUAAGCCUCGAGCGUUGUUCGGAAUUAUUGGGCGUAAAGGGCAUGUAGGCGGUGGCGUAAGCCCGGUGUGAAAGGCAGGAGCUCAACUCCUGGACAGCGCUGGGAACUGCGCCGCUGGAGUCACUGAGGGGCAGGCAGAAUUCCAGGUGUAGGGGUGAAAUCUGUAGAUAUCUGGAAGAAUACCGAUGGCGAAGGCAGCCUGCCAGCAGAUGACUGACGCUGAGGUGCGAAGGUGCGGGGAGCAAAC